UAAAACAAAAAUCACACACACACCCACACAAGGUGUGCGUGUGAUCGAGCAGUAGAAAAGGGGAAGGGGUGUAAACCCUAACCCACAUGAAAUCAUCAAAUUGGAAAUGGAUUUGAGGGUUAAUUGGAUGCAUGAACCAAGAUUUAUGAUCACUCAAGCGUUCUUGACACCAAGAUAGGAAUCCCAAAUUGACAUGGACUCAAGUAUGGAAAGCUAACGGGUCAAGCGGAGGUGAGGAAGCUAGCAUGAACACUAACGCUUAAGGUAAGUGAUUCCGUAAUCACUUCUUAGUUGUUUAUGUAAUGUUAUAUGCAAUUUAAUUAUAUGUGAUAAUUGAGGUCGAAUAGGAAUGAAUUGUAUGAUGUCAAUGAAGUAUUAAACGGAUCUUAGUUUUGAUCCGAGCAAGGUAGGUGUGAUUAAGAAAUUGUAGCUAAGUAGUGGAAUUGGUUACUUAUGUAAGGAAUUCCUUUGUUAUUAAGGAUAGAGCAUAGUUGACUAAAAUGCCCUUGAUAGGUAUAUCGGGCAAACGACCUUAGAAGUCGUUUGGAAACGAGCUAUUCGAUUAGAGUAAUGUCUUGGACAAGUAUGAAAGCGAAGUAUAGGGUUUGGUAUGUCAUAGUCCACUUAAUGCGCAAAUACCCAUAACGGGUCAAAAAUAAGCCUUUGAGCGAAAAUGGGUUAAGAGGAUGCAAGACGUCUGAGAAUUUAAUCUUUUAUGAUAGGUGCCGAUGAAAUUAUUAAAGUUCAUAUGAGAUUGAGGUCAAAUAAACAGAUUAUGUUGAUAAAUGCACGAACGGGUCAAAUAGUUAGAAGAUGAUAAUAUGUCGAAUGCACGUAAGUUAAGAAUUUCCUUAAUCCGGAGGUAGGAUUUUAAGUUAAUAUGAUAGAAUGUGAAUUUACAAGCAUGUAGGAAGAAACGGGAGGUUAAACGGGUAAACGGUUCAAAAGUUAUGCGAGUUUUAGU
RNAcentral lists this long non-coding RNA (964 nucleotides) under Helianthus annuus (common sunflower). Lineage: Eukaryota; Viridiplantae; Streptophyta; Magnoliopsida; Asterales; Asteraceae. The record is from RNAcentral.